RNAcentral lists this ribosomal RNA (163 nucleotides) under Pachypodium lealii. RNAcentral's name for it is "5.8S ribosomal RNA". It matches the Rfam family "5.8S ribosomal RNA". Rfam says of the family: 5.8S ribosomal RNA (5.8S rRNA) is a component of the large subunit of the eukaryotic ribosome. It is transcribed by RNA polymerase I as part of the 45S precursor that also contains 18S and 28S rRNA. Functionally, it is thought that 5.8S rRNA may be involved in ribosome translocation. Lineage: Eukaryota; Viridiplantae; Streptophyta; Magnoliopsida; Gentianales; Apocynaceae. The record is from RNAcentral.
AAAAUGACUCUCGGCAACGGAUAUCUAGGCUCUCGCAUCGGUGAAGAACGUAGCAAACUGCGAUACUUGGUGUGAAUUGCAGAAUCCCGUGAACCAUCGAGUUUUUGAACGCAAGUUGCGCCCAAAGUCGUUAGGCUGAGGGCACGUCUGCCUGGGCGUCACG